GAAGGUGAUGCCUGCCCGGUGACCCAACGUUUAACGGCCGCGGUAUCCUAACCGUGCAAAGGUAGCGCAAUCAAUUGUCCCAUAAAUCGAGACCAGUAUGAAUGGCUAAACGAGGUCUUAACUGUCUCUUGCAGGCAAUCGGUGAAAUUGAUCUCCCUGUGCAAAAGCAGGGAUAAACCCAUAAGACGAGAAGACCCUGUGGAACUUUAAAAACAGCAGCCACCCCAAAUAACAUAACCCCCCAUUGGGCUCACUCACACAUAAGCCACUGGCCUGCAUUUUUUCGGUUGGGGCGACCUUGGAGAAAAACAAAUCCUCCAAAAAUUAGACCACACCUCUAGACUAAGAGCAACCCCUCAACGUGCUAAUAGCACCCAGACCCAAUAUAAUUGAUCAAUGGACCAAGCUACCCCAGGGAUAACAGCGCAAUCUCCUUUAAGAGUCCAUAUCGACAAGGAGGUUUACGACCUCGAUGUUGGAUCAGGACAUCCUAGUGGUGCAGAAGCUACUAAGGGUUCGUUUGUUCAACGAUUAACAGUCCU
RNAcentral lists this ribosomal RNA (542 nucleotides) under Oenanthe melanura. Its description in RNAcentral is "partial 16S ribosomal RNA". It matches the Rfam family "Bacterial large subunit ribosomal RNA", at positions 1848 to 2597 of the family's 2925-position model. The record is from RNAcentral. Lineage: Eukaryota; Metazoa; Chordata; Aves; Passeriformes; Muscicapidae.